This is a non-coding RNA of Paramuricea clavata, 238 nucleotides long. Lineage: Eukaryota; Metazoa; Cnidaria; Anthozoa; Malacalcyonacea; Plexauridae. The record is from the annotation of a GenBank genome assembly.
AUUAAUUCCAAAACAUUUCACUUGAAAAUAACAAUUGCUGCAUAACAGUGUUCCUGUGUCAAAUGAAUCGUUGGUUCAGGGUGGCAAGGAAUGGGUCAUCCCACCAUAGGAGUGAUAGGACUUUGUAUGCAGCAAUUGGAACACAAGUAUAGUUUUCAGCAUGAUCAACUAAACCGGAAAUGAAAUAAAUGCGACAGGUCUUGAUACUGAAUAAAUGCAGGAACAGUGUCAAUGCAUG